This 253-nucleotide ribosomal RNA is filed under the name uncultured bacterium. RNAcentral describes it as "partial 16S ribosomal RNA". It matches the Rfam family "Bacterial small subunit ribosomal RNA", at positions 524 to 776 of the family's 1533-position model. The record is from RNAcentral.
UACAGGGGGGGCAAGCGUUGUUCGGAAUUACUGGGCGUAAAGGGCUCGUAGGUGGCCGACUAAGUCAGACGUGAAAUCCCUCAGCUUAACUGGGGAACUGCGUCUGAUACUGGAUGGCUUGAGUUUGGGAGAGGGAUGCGGAAUUCCAGGUGUAGCGGUGAAAUGCGUAGAUAUCUGGAGGAACACCGGUGGCGAAGGCGGCAUCCUGGACCGGUAUUGACACUGAGGCGCGAAAGCCAGGGGAGCAAACGGG